Falco tinnunculus (common kestrel) is the source of this 1648-nucleotide long non-coding RNA. NCBI's taxonomy places the organism in Eukaryota, Metazoa, Chordata, Aves, Falconiformes, Falconidae. The record is from Ensembl.
GAAGGUUUGUGAGAUAAAGAAGCAUCUGAAGAGGCUCAGCAACCGCAUCAGCACCUGCAGUGUGGAGACGAUGGAGUGCCAGGACUGCCUGCAGAGCGUAGGUGCCCGCGCGGGGUCCUGCCGGGAUGCUGCUGCCCACCCUCUCCCUGCUUCCCCCUAACGCUGCUGCUCCCCUUCCCAGCGCCCACCCUGUGCGUCUGGAGCAGGGAAACACCAGAGGAUCUGUGAACAGCUUGCUGCAGCUCUCUGUGGGUGAUCCACACUGGAGAGCUUGCUUCCCCCCACUGCGUGGGCAAGGAAUGGAUAAAGCCCCGGCAGUGACAUCCCUGGUCUGGGGUGGGGGCCCCGGGGGGAUCGGUACCCAGUAAACAGGAACAGCAGCAGUAGAAAAAUGAUGCUUCACCUCCAGCUCUCAGGAUGGGUUACCUGACAAGCCACCUGGUAGAUGCUCUGGUCCUCUGGUUAUUUUAUUUCGUUUGUCCCGAAGUGGAUGUGCUGGCUGUGGCUAUGUAGGCAUCAUUUCCCCAAGUUUUGUCCUGGGGGGAGCAGGCACUGCAGCACCGGGGGGCACAGCACCGCAGAGAGCCCGCUGCCUGCCAGGGGCUGCCACGUCUCUCCCUCUGCAGGCUCUGGACAGGUUUCUCCAGACAGAGAAACGGAGCUUGGCCCCGGUUCCUCCUGCACCUUUGCCCGUCCGUCUGAGCCAGGCACGCCAGGAGAUGGCCUUUCGGAUGCAGGAGCUCCUGGAGCAGAUGAGGUCAGUAACUUGUGAUCUCCAGUUCAACAACAGCAUCAUCGAGAGGUUGAGUGGGGCUGCCCCCACUCCUGGCAUUUGAGAGAUGGUGAAUUUGCAGCUGCUGAAGCAAACUGCUUCCCCCAGCAGGGAACACGUACGGCACUUCGGGGCCAGAGCGACGGAGGCGUUUGAUAUUCGUGCUGGAGGAGCUCUCUGUGUCCUACCUCUCGCUCCAGCACUUUUGCACAGUUCACCAGCAUUACACCAGCAUUAGCUUUGAGUGGCUUGCAAGCCUUGAGCCUUCAAAAGUGUGACCAGAAAAUUGGGUGGGUUUUGGUUUUUUUUUUUUUUCUUUUAAAAUGUACUUGAAGGACUUGUUUUUCUAGCUUCUCUGUAUCACCACGUCGGAUGAUGAAGAGGCUAGUCCGAUAAAUUAGGCCCUCUUACUCCUUUAGGGAUUACUCCCACUUUUAACGUACGCCUGCUCCCUGAGGCUUUGUGGAGCGGGGCAGGGGUCCAGGGCAGGAGGGAUGCUGUGCCCGAUGGAUGAGAGACCGGAUCCAGCACAGAAUGGCUCCAGUGCUCUGCCCAGAGGUGAGAGCCCAGGGAAGACAAAAGCCGCAGACCUCUGCCCACGGGCACUGCAGCCUCCCCUCCUGCUUCAGGGCUUCACCUCCAGCCCAGCACCGUGUCUGGGCUGCUCAGGGGUAUUGGAAUGGGAAGCCAAGGGAAGCUUCUCUUUUUUUGGUAUGUUUCUAUAAAUGCAACUGAGUUCUGUGUUUAUGCACGUGGGGGUGUGUGCCUUCUCCAAACAAGCCUGAACUGAAACUGUGGCUCCAGCCACCGAACCCGGGGAUGCUGCUGAAUGCCAAGGCAAAAUUGCAGAUGAAAGGGCACCCAUGAACGUUCUCC